GAGAAAGUCAUAAAGGUUAUGUGGUUGGCUUGAAACCAAUUAUUGGGGGUUCAAUUCCUUCCUUUCUUA
Molecule: non-coding RNA, 69 nt
Organism: Procavia capensis (Cape rock hyrax)
Lineage: Eukaryota; Metazoa; Chordata; Mammalia; Hyracoidea; Procaviidae
Source: Ensembl